RNAcentral lists this ribosomal RNA (263 nucleotides) under uncultured bacterium. RNAcentral describes it as "partial 16S ribosomal RNA". It matches the Rfam family "Bacterial small subunit ribosomal RNA", at positions 91 to 354 of the family's 1533-position model. The record is from RNAcentral.
CUUAGUGGCGGACGGGUGAGUAACGCGUGGGCAACCUGCCCCGUGCCGGGGGAUACCGCCUGGAAACAGGCGCUAAUACCGCAUAAGCGCAUACAGCCGCAUGGCAGUAUGCGGAAAGCUCCGGCGGCACGGGAUGGGCCCGCGCCCGAUUAGCCAGUUGGCGGGGUAACGGCCCACCAAAGCGACGAUCGGUAGCCGGCCUGAGAGGGCGGACGGCCACAUUGGGACUGAGAUACGGCCCAGACUCCUACGGGAGGCAGCAG